RNAcentral lists this ribosomal RNA (899 nucleotides) under Klebsiella pneumoniae. RNAcentral describes it as "bacterial SSU rRNA". It matches the Rfam family "Bacterial small subunit ribosomal RNA", at positions 37 to 931 of the family's 1533-position model. The record is from RNAcentral. Lineage: Bacteria; Pseudomonadati; Pseudomonadota; Gammaproteobacteria; Enterobacterales; Enterobacteriaceae.
AAGAGGCGCGCUACCUGCAAGUCGAGCGGUAGCACAGAGAGCUUGCUCUCGGGUGACGAGCGGCGGACGGGUGAGUAAUGUCUGGGAAACUGCCUGAUGGAGGGGGAUAACUACUGGAAACGGUAGCUAAUACCGCAUAAUGUCGCAAGACCAAAGUGGGGGACCUUCGGGCCUCAUGCCAUCAGAUGUGCCCAGAUGGGAUUAGCUAGUAGGUGGGGUAACGGCUCACCUAGGCGACGAUCCCUAGCUGGUCUGAGAGGAUGACCAGCCACACUGGAACUGAGACACGGUCCAGACUCCUACGGGAGGCAGCAGUGGGGAAUAUUGCACAAUGGGCGCAAGCCUGAUGCAGCCAUGCCGCGUGUGUGAAGAAGGCCUUCGGGUUGUAAAGCACUUUCAGCGGGGAGGAAGGCGAUAAGGUUAAUAACCUCGUCGAUUGACGUUACCCGCAGAAGAAGCACCGGCUAACUCCGUGCCAGCAGCCGCGGUAAUACGGAGGGUGCAAGCGUUAAUCGGAAUUACUGGGCGUAAAGCGCACGCAGGCGGUCUGUCAAGUCGGAUGUGAAAUCCCCGGGCUCAACCUGGGAACUGCAUUCGAAACUGGCAGGCUAGAGUCUUGUAGAGGGGGGUAGAAUUCCAGGUGUAGCGGUGAAAUGCGUAGAGAUCUGGAGGAAUACCGGUGGCGAAGGCGGCCCCCUGGACAAAGACUGACGCUCAGGUGCGAAAGCGUGGGGAGCAAACAGGAUUAGAUACCCUGGUAGUCCACGCCGUAAACGAUGUCGAUUUGGAGGUUGUGCCCUUGAGGCGUGGCUUCCGGAGCUAACGCGUUAAAUCGACCGCCUGGGGAGUACGGCCGCAAGGUUAAAACUCAAAUGAAUUGACGGGGGCCCGCACAAGCG